AGUGAACGCUGGCGGUGGGCCUAACACAUGCAAGUCGAACGGCAGCACAGUAAGAGCUUGCUCUUACGGGUGGCGAGUGGCGGACGGGUGAGGAAUACAUCGGAAUCUACUUUUUCGUGGGGGAUAACGUAGGGAAACUUACGCUAAUACCGCAUACGACCUACGGGUGAAAGCAGGGGAUCUUCGGACCUUGCGCGAUUGAAUGAGCCGAUGUCGGAUUAGCUAGUUGGCGGGGUAAAGGCCCACCAAGGCGACGAUCCGUAGCUGGUCUGAGAGGAUGAUCGGCCACACUGGAACUGAGACACGGUCCAGACUCCUACGGGAGGCAGCAGUGGGGAAUAUUGGACAAUGGGCGCAAGCCUGAUCCAGCCAUACCGCGUGGGUGAAGAAGGCCUUCGGGUUGUAAAGCCCUUUUGUUGGGAAAGAAAAGCAGCAGGUUAAUACCCCGCUGUUCUGACGGUACCCAAAGAAUAAGCACCGGCUAACUUCGUG
RNAcentral lists this ribosomal RNA (492 nucleotides) under uncultured bacterium. RNAcentral describes it as "partial 16S ribosomal RNA". It matches the Rfam family "Bacterial small subunit ribosomal RNA", at positions 29 to 507 of the family's 1533-position model. The record is from RNAcentral.